Molecule: ribosomal RNA, 493 nt
Filed under: uncultured bacterium
Lineage: Bacteria
Description: partial 16S ribosomal RNA
Rfam family: Bacterial small subunit ribosomal RNA
Source: RNAcentral
GAGUGAACGCUGGCGGUCGGCCUAACACAUGCAAGUCGAACGGCAGCACAGUAAGAGCUUGCUCUUACGGGUGGCGAGUGGCGGACGGGUGAGGAAUACAUCGGAAUCUACUUUUUCGUGGGGGAUAACGUAGGGAAACUUACGCUAAUACCGCAUACGACCUACGGGUGAAAGCAGGGGAUCUUCGGACCUUGCGCGAUUGAAUGAGCCGAUGUCGGAUUAGCUAGUUGGCGGGGUAAAGGCCCACCAAGGCGACGAUCCGUAGCUGGUCUGAGAGGAUGAUCAGCCACACUGGAACUGAGACACGGUCCAGACUCCUACGGGAGGCAGCAGUGGGGAAUAUUGGACAAUGGGCGCAAGCCUGAUCCAGCCAUACCGCGUGGGUGAAGAAGGCCUUCGAGUUGUAAAGCCCUUUUGUUGGGAAAGAAAAGCAGCAGGUUAAUACCCCGCUGUUCCGACGGUACCCAAAGAAUAAGCACCGGCUAACUUCGUG